GAUGAACGCUGGCGGCGUGCCUAAUACAUGCAAGUCGAGCGAACAGAUGAGGAGCUUGCUCCUCUGACGUUAGCGGCGGACGGGUGAGUAACACGUGGAUAACCUACCUAUAAGACUGGGAUAACUUCGGGAAACCGGAGCUAAUACCGGAUAAUAUAUUGAACCGCAUGGUUCAAUAGUAAAAGACGGUUUUGCUGUCACUUAUAGAUGGAUCCGCGCCGCAUUAGCUAGUUGGUAAGGUAACGGCUUACCAAGGCAACGAUGCGUAGCCGACCUGAGAGGGUGAUCGGCCACACUGGAACUGAGACACGGUCCAGACUCCUACGGGAGGCAGCAGUAGGGAAUCUUCCGCAAUGGGCGAAAGCCUGACGGAGCAACGCCGCGUGAGUGAUGAAGGUCUUCGGAUCGUAAAACUCUGUUAUUAGGGAAGAACAAAUGUGUAAGUAACUAUGCACGUCUUGACGGUACCUAAUCAGAAAGCCACGGCUAACUACGUA
RNAcentral lists this ribosomal RNA (497 nucleotides) under uncultured bacterium. RNAcentral describes it as "partial 16S ribosomal RNA". It matches the Rfam family "Bacterial small subunit ribosomal RNA", at positions 28 to 507 of the family's 1533-position model. The record is from RNAcentral.